This 496-nucleotide ribosomal RNA is filed under the name uncultured bacterium. Its description in RNAcentral is "partial 16S ribosomal RNA". It matches the Rfam family "Bacterial small subunit ribosomal RNA", at positions 29 to 507 of the family's 1533-position model. The record is from RNAcentral.
AACGAACGCUGGCGGCGCGUCUUAAGCAUGCAAGUCGAACGGCAAGAGAGGAGCUUGCUUCUCUCCUAGAGUGGCGGACUGGUGAGGAACACGUGGGUAAUCUACCCUUAAGAUGGGGAUAGCUGCUAGAAAUAGCAGGUAAUACCGAAUACGCUCGGCAUAUCACAAGAGGUGUUGAGGAAAGGAAGCUACGGCUUCGCUUGAGGAUGAGCUUGCGUCCCAUUAGCUAGUUGGUGAGGUAAAGGCCCACCAAGGCGACGAUGGGUAUCCGGCCUGAGAGGGUGAACGGACACAUUGGGACUGAGAUACGGCCCAAACUCCUACGGGAGGCAGCAGCUAAGAAUAUUCCGCAAUGGACGGAAGUCUGACGGAGCGACGCCGCGUGGAUGAAGAAGGCUGAAAAGUUGUAAAAUCCUUUUGUUGAUGAAGAAUAAGGGUGAGAGGGAAUGCUCAUCUGAUGACGGUAAUCGACGAAUAAGCCCCGGCUAAUUACGUG